RNAcentral lists this non-coding RNA (262 nucleotides) under Hominimerdicola alba. RNAcentral describes it as "Ruminococcus albus T-box sequence". It matches the Rfam family "T-box leader". From Rfam's summary of the family: Uncharged tRNA acts as the effector for transcription antitermination of genes in the T-box leader family. T-boxes are found upstream of many aminoacyl-tRNA synthetase genes and some amino acid biosynthetic genes usually in Gram-positive bacteria. The anticodon of a specific tRNA base pairs to a specifier sequence within the T-box motif, and the NCCA acceptor tail of the tRNA base pairs to a conserved bulge in the T-box antiterminator hairpin. The record is from RNAcentral. Lineage: Bacteria; Bacillati; Bacillota; Clostridia; Eubacteriales; Oscillospiraceae.
CGAAAUCCUGUGAGCAAAAGUAAGUAGUUGUGUGAGGGAGUAUCAGAGAGCUGUCGGUAGGUGCGAGACAGUACAAGGGCAUACAAUGAAUGGGUUUGUGAGGAGCGGAGCUAAAGUUAUUUACGAGUAUCUCCUGCCGUGUUCCCUACGUUAGUGCGGAAGGGUAUUGAUCUUGAGGGUGUUUCCUGAUAGUGCGUACCUUGUGAGCCGACAAUAUUAUUGUCGGGAAAAUGGGUGGCACCACGGUUCUAUCGUCCCAUGA